GCAACAAGAACUCAACAACAAGUUGAAUCAGAUCGUAUAAUGCAGAGGUAGAAGGGGUGGAUCAUAAAUCGCCCCCACCCUCUCAAACCCCCCCACCAAACUUGCAGGGUUCGCGCCGCACUUUCCAUUCGCUCUCGCGCGCAGGCAGCCCUGUGAUGAAGUUCUGCUCUUCCCUCACACCUUCUCAUCCUGUGGAUGGAAUAAGAUGCUUUCAAACGACGAUGCCCCGUGCAUCUCCAGCAAACAAGUAUGGAAGGAUUUCGUGGAUGUGAUUUCUAAUCGAGGAUGUUCGUUUAUCAAUUUCACAUCCAGAUGAGCGGGUAUCUGUGCCAUGAGGAGUCCAAGCAGAAUAGGCAGCUGGAGCUCGGAGUCGCCCGCAGGAGGAAGUGGAGGCAGCGCUGCCUCAUGAGGCUGAUGCAACAUGAGGGAUGGAAGACAAAUGAAGGAUGCUAAAGGAAUCAUGGGAGAGAUGUGAUCUGGAUUCUUUCAUGUCACUUCAGUGAUGGUGAAACUAACAUCAAUCAGAGCAGAAGAUGGUUCAAUCAAAUGGAGGCCCUUGUUAGACGAGGUGCCGCUGAAAUGAAUUAACGUGAUUCACAAUCUACUCCACAGCCUGCAGGUGAGGAGAACCAUCAUGUCUCUUCAUAAUGACUGUGCCUGUCCAAUCAGUGUUUCUGAAUGCACUGCUUAUGUUUAUUCUCAUUAAACUCUAAACAAGCCAAUAAUGUUCAAAUAACCAGCAGAAGUUAACAAUGCACUUCCAGUAAUUAGCUUACUUCUCUUAUAAAUGGAGAAGCCAGCAGUGAGCAGCACAUUAGCCGUCUCUGGAGAAAUCUGUGCAUGUUUUGUCUUUCUGCAUUACUGCAAUAAUUAUGUUUUUGAACAUGUUUAUCUGGCUAAAAGUUCUAAAGAGAAAAAUAUUUGUUGUAUUUCAGGAAAAGUCCAAAUGUAAUUGCUUAUUUCAGCUUGAUGUAAAAUCUGACUAUGAACUGUACAAAUGUUAGCCAUUAAUAUUUAGGCUAAUAUGUAGACUAUUUAAAGCACCACAAACCCAUAUUGACACUGAACAAUCACACCUCAGGUUUAAAAAAAAGGCUCAAUAAAUGUUCCAAAUGAUAAUUUUCAUACUAAAGCCCUACCCAUUAUCCAGCAUGCUUUGUAACGUUGGGGGCAUGCUUAAAGAUAAGUCUUACAUGUUUGUAUGGAAAUUUGCAUUGUGUUACAAAUCACUUUCACCACGUUUUGUAAUUAUGCCACAUUAAUGGGUGUCUGACAAUAAUUAUUUUUGU
This is a long non-coding RNA of Cyprinus carpio (common carp), 1289 nucleotides long. RefSeq lists it as uncharacterized. Lineage: Eukaryota; Metazoa; Chordata; Actinopteri; Cypriniformes; Cyprinidae. The record is from RefSeq and is a predicted model, not a curated record.